Molecule: long non-coding RNA, 3215 nt
Filed under: Nicotiana tabacum (common tobacco)
Lineage: Eukaryota; Viridiplantae; Streptophyta; Magnoliopsida; Solanales; Solanaceae
Description: long non-coding RNA (NTAB_LNC006371)
Source: RNAcentral
ACAAAAGGGCCAACACACAAAGUGCACAAGGACAUAACAAUCAAAAUGUCAUUACUCAAAUUUCAUCUUAGAUAGUGAUGCCGCCCAACACUAUUGCUUGGCAAGCCAACACUGAUUAUAUAGUAAACCCUCACUCAUGUGGUUAGUACACGAUAACUUCUAUUUAGACUAGAUAAGUUUUGGCCCGUGCUCCAAUCUUGUAAAAGCGAACGGUAAUUUAAUAUUACUAUCUUUGUCGUAACAUGCAAUUGCAGAAUGAAGAGAUUGAAACAUCUAAAUAAGUAAUAUCAAACCAGAUAUAUAUAGCAUAGCCAACUAACUGUUUCAUAUUUACAUGCAUUUAUGGACAAUAUUUCCGUUGUACAAAGGUUAAUAAAACAUCUGCUACAGGGUUGCAGAACAAUGCAUAAAAUGACACAUUCUUUAUAUCCUUUACACUAAUCUAUUUACAUAUGUACUAUUUACAUAUUAACAAUAUGUAAUGCAACUAAACUACAAUGCUGCAAUUAGUCUCCAAGUUUUGCAGGAUAUGACAAUAAUAUUAGCACUUGUAGAAAUCAUUUCUUCGCAUUAGCCCAACUCAAUUCUUGUCACAUAAUGUAGCCAGGGUGGGGAACUUGCAGCAAACAACAAAUAUAGAAUUUGGUAAAGUUGAGAAGAAAAGCGUCGUGUUAUGCAGUAAAAUUACCAUGUAAGUCAAAAUUUGCAAAAGGUAAGAAAUGAAAAUAAAAUGUCAAAAGCUAAUCAAAUAACUUACCGGUGAUGUGUGGCUUUGGCCGGUUAAGUAAAGAUUAGAAAAAUAGUGUGGAAGAUAAAAGAUUGAUCGCGUUUCAAGUAUUCGCCUUACAGCCUUAGUUUGGUCAGCAACAGCUUAAAAUAUUACAUCUUAAUAAGUCAUAUAUUUUCUUUGAUCAGUUAAAAAGUUGCAUGUUCUGGAGGAUACCUAAAAGAAAUCGAGAGCAGAGAUCUCUAAUAAAGAGGAUGCCCAUAUGAUAAUCUAGAUUAGUGUGUAGGAUCCAGUAAAAAUUACAAUAUCAGUUUAGCAUAGUUUCUUCCAAGUUAGAAAAGAAAGAAAAGAUGGGAGGGACUCUGGACAAGAAAUUUCUCAUCAAGCAACUUCAUAGAGGAUAGCGAACUGGAAGUAAAAUUUAUUAUUCUCUGAAAAUUGUUCAUUCAAUGAUUAUACAUCGGCAUAUUUUUAUCUAUAAUUAAUAUUCGCAGAAUCAGUACACUACUCAAUGAAUAAAUUGAUUAAUAAAGUUUUAAUAAUAAAAUAAUAAAAAAUAAUAGUAGUACAAUAUUCACUUUACUUAAAGUGUAAGAAAGUUACUUUACGAAAAGUUUAGUCAUUUACCGUUUAGUAUAAGUAUCGAUUCGUUUCAUGCAAAUGAUUAAGCAUUUGACAGUCUGGCCAUAAUAUCAUACCAAACUCUCCAAAGCUUGCACCUUAUUCUCUUCAAGUCAUAACAUCAUACCAAACUCUCUAAAGCUUGCACCUUAUUCUCUUCAAGUCAACUACUGUUAAACUCAAGAAAAAUUGACCUUAACAUAAUGUAAGUAAUUGAAGAUCCAAAGAAUACUAAAGACUAAAGUUUGGGGCAAGGGGCGAAAAGAAGACAUGGGAAAUAAUUUUUUUAAAAAAAGAGUGCUAACACCUAUUUGUUUUUUUUAUAACCAAGUAUAUGAUAAAAAAUAAAAUAUUUUUUUUGCAGUUAUAGCAAAAAUACUCUAUUAAAAAUGAGUAACUUCAUUAUAGUUUCUCCUAUACCCCAUUUUGAAAAAUGCAGAUAAAUUGAAGAUCUAGUCGAGAUAUUCAAGAUGAGUUUAUGGUAGCAUGAAUCAUCAAAUAAUGAAACUCCUAGGUUUUUAGUCAUUUGGUUCGUGGUCCUAUGAAUCCUUUUGAAAGAAAGUUAUAUGCACGGUUAAGCUGAAAAAGCUAUUCUCUAUCCUAGAUUAGGAUGUACAUAAUCAUGUCUCAGUCUAACUCGACGCUAAGCACAAUGUAUCAUAUUUUCAUGCAAGUUGUCUGCUCUGGCUAAUAAUAUGACAUAUACUGGUUCCAAAUGCACAUAUCAUCAAAAUACCUAACUUCUUGAUCUGUCAUCCACGAACUGCUGAUUCCUAACGGUUGCGCAGUCACUUUGAUGUUCUUGUCCACCUUUAAUAUAAGACAUAAUCGUAGAUUCUAACUUAAAGACCCUUCUUUGUCCUUGUACAGAUUUAACAUGAAAAAACUUUUAUUCAGCUAAAAAACUGCCAAACAGACUUAAAAACAUACAAGGAUAUUAUUGAUACGGCUAGAACUGUCAAAACAACUCUCACAUUAUCACUGAAAUUAAAUUUACAAACACAAAUCAAAAAGAGAAUUUUGAAACUCUAAUUCUCCCCUCUCCUCCAAGACAAUUACUUUCCUCGUAAAGGAGUAUGACAUACUUUAGUAAACAAGAAAUAAAUCAGCUUGGUGUGACCUUAUUUUCUCGAUUUUAGAAGAGUGCUCUAAACCAACAAGAUUGUUUAUCAAACCAAAUAGACAGAACUUCUAUGCAUGUAUUCAUCUAUUUUGGAAUAGGAUGAGUCUAUUUCAAAAUUUCACAAAGCCCUCAAUUCUUAAGUACCUCAUGCCUUUAUCUAUUGGUUCUAUAUGGUCUUUAAGACAAUGCUUUUAGAUUUUGGUGGGUUUACCUCACGCCUCAAUUCUUAACCACCUUGUGCCAAUUUUCAUUAAGCUAACAUGUUGCAACUUCUUAUAUGGGGGUAUUCUAUUUAUGGGCGUAGAAUAUACUAAUUGAUGCUGGAGUCGUAGGUUUGACUUACGGUGCAUUUCUAUCAAUGUUUCCAUCUUUAGAACAACUUUUGAAACUUCAACUUGUGGAGAAUUUAUGUUAUACUUCAGAUAGAGUUGUAUAAGCAAUCACCACAUCAGAAGAACCCUAAAAGUUUCUAGAUUCAGUUAGGUCUAAGUUAGCGUAGGGAGAGGCAGAUUUCCAAAGUAAUUCGGAACAGAUCGUGCAUCCUUUAGUACUGAUCCUUUAAAGUAGUAAUUUGGUGGAAACCAAAGAUCUUGAGAAUCUAAUAAAUAUACAGAAAGAAAUAUUGCAACAUAAGUAAGAAUCAUUCAAUACAUAUAACCGCACUUCUACAUUAUAAAAAUAAAUUCAAUUAAAUGACCAUCUUUCUCAAAAUAGAGUUAAAGAAAAACCCUGUUAGUCAUUUUC